RNAcentral lists this ribosomal RNA (945 nucleotides) under Listeria monocytogenes. Its description in RNAcentral is "partial 23S ribosomal RNA". It matches the Rfam family "Bacterial large subunit ribosomal RNA", at positions 401 to 1347 of the family's 2925-position model. Lineage: Bacteria; Bacillati; Bacillota; Bacilli; Caryophanales; Listeriaceae. The record is from RNAcentral.
GUGGAUCCUGAGUACGGCGGAACACGUGAAAUUCCGUCGGAAUCCGGGAGGACCAUCUCCCAAGGCUAAAUACUCCCUAGUGACCGAUAGUGAACCAGUACCGUGAGGGAAAGGUGAAAAGCACCCCGGAAGGGGAGUGAAACAGUUCCUGAAACCGUGUGCCUACAAGUAGUUAGAGCCCGUUAAUGGGUGAUAGCGUGCCUUUUGUAGAAUGAACCGGCGAGUUACGAUUUGUUGCAAGGUUAAGCGGAAAAAGCGGAGCCGUAGCGAAAGCGAGUCUGAAUAGGGCGCAUAAGUAACAGGUCGUAGACCCGAAACCAGGUGAUCUACCCAUGUCCAGGAUGAAGGUAAGGUAAUACUUACUGGAGGUCCGAACCCACGCACGUUGAAAAGUGCGGGGAUGAGGUGUGGGUAGCGGAGAAAUUCCAAUCGAACUUGGAGAUAGCUGGUUCUCUCCGAAAUAGCUUUAGGGCUAGCCUCGAGGUAAAGAGUCAUGGAGGUAGAGCACUGUUUGGACUAGGGGCCCUUCUCGGGUUACCGAAUUCAGAUAAACUCCGAAUGCCAUGUACUUAUACUCGGGAGUCAGACUGCGAGUGAUAAGAUCCGUAGUCGAAAGGGAAACAGCCCAGACCACCAGUUAAGGUCCCCAAAUAUAUGUUAAGUGGAAAAGGAUGUGGGGUUGCUUAGACAACCAGGAUGUUGGCUUAGAAGCAGCCACCAUUGAAAGAGUGCGUAAUAGCUCACUGGUCGAGUGACCCCGCGCCGAAAAUGUACCGGGGCUAAACAUAUUACCGAAACUGUGGAUGAACCUCUUUAGAGGUUCGUGGUAGGAGAGCGUUCUAAGGGCGGUGAAGUCAGACCGGAAGGACUGGUGGAGCGCUUAGAAGUGAGAAUGCCGGUAUGAGUAGCGAAAGAAGGGUGAGAAUCCCUUCCACCGAAUAUCUA